Molecule: ribosomal RNA, 473 nt
Filed under: uncultured bacterium
Lineage: Bacteria
Description: SSU rRNA
Rfam family: Bacterial small subunit ribosomal RNA
Source: RNAcentral
AGGACGAACGCUGGCGGCGUGCUUAACACAUGCAAGUCGAGCGGAAAGGCCCUUCGGGGUACUCGAGCGGCGAACGGGUGAGUAACACGUGAGUAACCUGCCCCUAGCUCUGGGAUAGCUCCGGGAAACCGGGAUUAAUACCAGAUACGACCACUUUAGACAUCUGUCGUGGUGGAAAGGAUUCCGGCUAGGGAUGGGCUCGCGGCCUAUCAGCUUGUUGGUGGGGUAACGGCCUACCAAGGCGACGACGGGUAGCCGGCCUGAGAGGGCGACCGGCCGACACUGGGACUGAGACACGGCCCAGACUCCUACGGGAGGCAGCAGUGGGGAUAUUGCGCAAUGGGCGAAAGCCUGACGCAGCGACGCCGCGUGGGGAUGAAGGCCUUCGGGUUGUAAACCCCUUUCAGCAGGGACGAAGCGAAAGUGACGGUACCUGCAGAAGAAGCGCCGGCUAACUACGCGCCAGCAGCCGC